UGUAGGGAGUGGAGAGAGGGGGAGGACAUGCAGUAAAUAGUCGAGGCUGGAAUCGAACCUGCGACCUAUGCGCAGAGGGCUAUAGCCUCUGGAUAUGGGGCACGCGCUUAGAACGGUAGGCCAACGGUGCCCCCACUAGGAACCUCUUUGUUGGCAUGCUUUCACCUCCCUCCCUGCAGGUUCUUCUACAUACAGUGACAAACAGCCUGUAAGCUGUAUGUGAAAAGCCCUGCAGAGUGCAUGUAAUUAACCCCCCUGGAGCAAAACACAGCUCCAGGUUGUCAGAGUCAUCAGAGAUGCCUGAUGGGCCGGUGCAAAGAGGAGGAGGCGGAGGCUGACUCAGCAGCAGUGUCUUGGCUGUGAUUCGCCUGGUGGGCUGGACUGGAGGCUGGGAGAGGAAAGCUAUUCCAUGGCAGACUGUCUUUGACUGAUGGACCCAUUCUGCUGACUUUCCAAAGGGAAGGAGAUCACAGGCAACCACAUACUGUCUGUAAU
This is a long non-coding RNA of Notolabrus celidotus (New Zealand spotty), 495 nucleotides long. RefSeq lists it as uncharacterized. The record is from RefSeq and is a predicted model, not a curated record. NCBI's taxonomy places the organism in Eukaryota, Metazoa, Chordata, Actinopteri, Labriformes, Labridae. The transcript is spliced from 3 exons.